UAAUACGUGAGUAACCUGCCCUUGACUCUGGGAUAAGCCUGGGAAACUGGGUCUAAUACUGGAUACGACGGCGCAUCGCAUGGUGUGUUGUGGAAAGGGUUUUACUGGUUUUGGAUGGGCUCACGGCCUAUCAGCUUGUUGGUGGGGUAAUGGCUCACCAAGGCGACGACGGGUAGCCGGCCUGAGAGGGUGACCGGCCACACUGGGACUGAGACACGGCCCAGACUCCUACGGGAGGCAGCAGUGGGGAAUAUUGCACAAUGGGCGGAAGCCUGAUGCAGCGACGCCGCGUGAGGGAUGACGGCCUUCGGGUUGUAAACCUCUUUCAGCACGGAAGAAGCGAGAGUGACGGUACGUGCAGAAGAAGCGCCGGCUAACUACGUGCCAGCAGCCGCGGUAAUACGUAGGGCGCAAGCGUUGUCCGGAAUUAUUGGGCGUAAAGAGCUCGUAGGCGGUUUGUCGCGUCUGCUGUGAAAGCCCGGGGCUUAACCCCGGGUGUGCAGUGGGUACGGGCAGACUUGAGUGCAGUAGGGGAGACUGGAAUUCCUGGUGUAGCGGUGAAAUGCGCAGAUAUCAGGAGGAACACCGAUGGCGAAGGCAGGUCUCUGGGCUGUUACUGACGCUGAGGAGCGAAAGCAUGGGGAGCGAACAGGAUUAGAUACCCUGGUAGUCCAUGCCGUAAACGUUGGGCACUAGGUGUGGGGGAACAUUCCACGUUCU
Molecule: ribosomal RNA, 720 nt
Filed under: Kocuria sp. NBSAG9
Lineage: Bacteria; Bacillati; Actinomycetota; Actinomycetes; Micrococcales; Micrococcaceae
Description: bacterial SSU rRNA
Rfam family: Bacterial small subunit ribosomal RNA
Source: RNAcentral